GAUGAACGCUGGCGGCGUGCCUAAUACAUGCAAGUCGAGCGAACAGAUGAGAAGCUUGCUUCUCUGAUGUUAGCGGCGGACGGGUGAGUAACACGUGGGUAACCUACCUAUAAGACUGGGAUAACUCCGGGAAACCGGGGCUAAUACCGGAUAAUAUUUUGAACCGCAUGGUUCAAUAGUGAAAGACGGUUUCGGCUGUCACUUAUAGAUGGACCCGCGCCGUAUUAGCUAGUUGGUAAGGUAACGGCUUACCAAGGCGACGAUACGUAGCCGAGCUGAGAGGGCGCUCGGCCACACCGGAACUGAGACACGGUCCAGACUCCUACGGGAGGCAGCAGUAGGGAAUCUUCCGCAAUGGGCGAAAGCCUGACGGAGCAACGCCGCGUGAGUGAUGAAGGUCUUCGGAUCGUAAAACUCUGUUGUUAGGGAAGAACAAAUUUGUUAGUAACUGAACAAGUCUUGACGGUACCUAACCAGAAAGCCACGGCUAACUACGUGCCAGCCGCCGCGGUAA
RNAcentral lists this ribosomal RNA (514 nucleotides) under uncultured bacterium. RNAcentral's name for it is "partial 16S ribosomal RNA". It matches the Rfam family "Bacterial small subunit ribosomal RNA", at positions 28 to 523 of the family's 1533-position model. The record is from RNAcentral.